Long non-coding RNA from Harpia harpyja (harpy eagle), 938 nucleotides. RefSeq lists it as uncharacterized. The record is from RefSeq and is a predicted model, not a curated record. Lineage: Eukaryota; Metazoa; Chordata; Aves; Accipitriformes; Accipitridae. The transcript is spliced from 3 exons.
UUACUAACUGAAUGUGGAGGGAGUUUUCUCAGUAAGACUCUUUUUGAUAAUGUAAUUAUAUUUAAUACUUAAGUGCGUACAAACUAUGUGCUGGUGGAAAAGAAACAAAACACAGCAACAGGCAGUAACCUUUGUUCAGCAGGAGAGAGUAUAAGCACAAAUCAAAGCAAGCAACAAACAUAAAAACAUAAAUGAACAAAAAUAGCAUGUUAAACUGGAGAUAAAUCCUCCCUUCUUCUUACAGCUACAUAACUGGAAUUCAUGGCCAUGUGGAGAGAGAAAGGGAAGAGAAAGAAGAAUCUUUGUACACUAAGGAUCACAUGCAACCCAUUAAAAGUGCUACAGCUAUGGCAGAUCUCCUGUGUCUCUUGAGUUAUAUAUGCAGCACUGAACAUGGGAAGAAGACGGUUGCAGCCAUUUAAUAGUAAUAUAUUUAAACUUCAGAAAAGAGAAGAUGGGCUACAGUCACAGCAGAAGGAAACACUUCCUCUGCGACAGAAAAAAAGAUGAUCUUCUUAUUGAGCUCUAGCCUCAGGAAAUUAGACUUAGUGGCUCCAGACUAAGCUGUGUAAAGUGAAAUCUGAGAUAAAAAAUGGAGCACUGAAGUUGAAGAGCUACAGAAUGAACUGGGUAUAUCCAGCUAGUUAUAUGGGCAGGCCAAAUGUUCAGGUACUGUACUAAGAUAUCAUUAACUGCCCUGAACUACAUAAAUUAAGCUGAUUAUGCCUUCACUUAAUUAACUGAGAAUGACCUAUUGAUGUAUAGGCAGAGCAAGAUAGAGACUACAUGCUGCACUGUACUAAAUUUAUAGGUUUUCAAUUAGUUCUACUAUUGACUGAGACUACUUAGAAAAGGAGUUUACUUUUAUGUUUUGUAGCAGGUUUUUAAAUUAGUAAGUUAUUUGAAAAUGUUCUGUUUGUAUGCUCUCAAAUUAUUUG